GUAGCAAUAUUGUCUCAGUGGCGAACGGGUGAGUAACGCGUUGGUGACCUGCCCCGAAGAGGGGGAUAACAGUCCGAAAGGAUUGCUAAUACCCCAUGUGGUCAAGAGGAUUAGAUGCCUUAUGACUAAACGGAGAAAUUCGCUUCGGGAGGGGCCUGCGUCCCAUCAGCUAGUUGGUAGGGUAAUAGCCUACCAAGGCGAUGACGGGUAGGGGACCUGAGAGGGUGGCCCCCCACAAUGGAACUGAAACACGGUCCAUACACCUACGGGUGGCAGCAGUAGGGAAUAUUGGUAAUCUGGGAAACCGGGAACCAGCAACGCCGCGUGCGCGAUGAAGGCCUUCGGGUUGUAAAGCGCUUUUUGAGAGGAUGAGGAAGGACAGUACUCUUAGAAUAAGCCUCGGCUAACUACGUGCCAGCAGCCGCGGUAAAACGUAGGAGGCGAGCGUUAUCCGGAUUUACUGGGCGUAAAGCGUGUGUAGGCGGUUUGAUAAGUUGGAUGUGAAAGCUCCUGGCUUAACUGGGAGAGGUCGUUCAAAACUAUCAGACUUGAGAGUGGUAGAGGGAGGUGGAAUUCCGCAUGUAGUGGUGAAAUGCGUAGAUAUGCGGAGGAACACCAGUGGCGAAAGCGGCCUCCUGGCCCAUUUCUGACGCUCAGACACGAAAGCUAAGGUAGCAGACGGGAUUAGAGACCCCGGUAGUCUUAGCUGUAAACGAUGUGAACUUAGUGUCGGUGGGGUUAAAUCCAUCGGUACUGAAGCUAACGCGAUAAGUUCACCGCCUGAGGACUACGGCCGCAAGGUUAAAACUCAAAGGAAUUGACGGGGCCCCGCACAAGCAGCGGAACCGUGUGGUUUAAUUCGAUGU
Molecule: ribosomal RNA, 866 nt
Filed under: uncultured bacterium
Lineage: Bacteria
Description: bacterial SSU rRNA
Rfam family: Bacterial small subunit ribosomal RNA
Source: RNAcentral